Molecule: ribosomal RNA, 253 nt
Filed under: uncultured bacterium
Lineage: Bacteria
Description: partial 16S ribosomal RNA
Rfam family: Bacterial small subunit ribosomal RNA
Source: RNAcentral
UACGUAGGUACCGAGCGUUAUCCGGAUUUACUGGGCGUAAAGCGCGUUCAGGCGGUUUGGCAAGUCGGGCAUGAAAUCUCUCGGCUCAACCGGGAGAGGUUGUCCGAUACUGCUGGACUUGAGGGCAGUAGAGGGUGGUGGAAUUCCGGGUGUAGUGGUGAAAUGCGUAGAUAUCCGGAGGAACACCAGUGGCGAAAGCGGCCACCUGGACUGUACCUGACGCUAACACGCGAAAGCUAGGGGAGCGAACGGG